RNAcentral lists this ribosomal RNA (407 nucleotides) under uncultured bacterium. RNAcentral's name for it is "bacterial SSU rRNA". It matches the Rfam family "Bacterial small subunit ribosomal RNA", at positions 29 to 432 of the family's 1533-position model. The record is from RNAcentral.
AGUGAACGCUGGCGGCAGGCCUAAUACAUGCAAGUCGAACGGCAGCACAGCAGAGCUUGCUCUGUGGGUGGCGAGUGGCGGACGGGUGAGGAAUACAUGGGAAUCUGCCCAGUCGUGGGGGAUAACGUAGGGAAACUUACGCUAAUACCGCAUGCGCCCUUCGGGGGAAAGCCGGGGGAACCUUCGGGCCUGGCGCGAUUGGAUGAGCCCAUGUCGGAUUAGCUAGUUGGCGGGUAAUGGCCCACCAAGGCGACGAUCCGUAGCUGGUCUGAGAGGAUGAUCAGCCACACUGGAACUGAGACACGGUCCAGACUCCUACGGGAGCAGCAGUAGGAAUAUUGGACAAUGGGCGCAAGCCUGAUCCAGCCAUGCCGCGUGAGUGAAGAAGGCCCUCGGGUUGUAAAGCU